UUCAUUUUCAUACCAGUUUAGGAAAGCUUUUUUACACACCUCUUUUGUCGGGCAGGUGCGUAGGAUAUGAUCAAAAGUAGCAGAUCAAAAGCUUAGAGAAAGUCCCGCACACUGGCCAUUACACAAGCAAUAAU
This is a long non-coding RNA of Sander lucioperca (pikeperch), 134 nucleotides long. RefSeq lists it as uncharacterized. The transcript has 3 exons. Lineage: Eukaryota; Metazoa; Chordata; Actinopteri; Perciformes; Percidae. The record is from RefSeq and is a predicted model, not a curated record.